GAGGUGGCGCUGUGGAGCCGCGCAGGGUCUAGGGCGACUCUCUGAGGGAGCCGCGGCCGCCAGGCUCCGUGGGUUUUGGUUCAGGCGCCGGUGUGCCCAAGGAUGUUGUAGAACUCUGUCUAGCCACAGUGUGGGGAUGGGGAGCUCCCGCCGACAGACUCUGUUGCUUUCUGGCUUGGCCGCUGGUUGUCCCUUGCUCCUGGAAGGUCACCAUAUUGAUGCCAAACUCAGUGUGGAUGCCCAAUUGGUAGAGUGCACUACAGCCCAGAACUCAUGGACUCAAGUCAGCCUCCCAAGUCCCUGGGACUACAGAUUCCUGAAUGAUCCGGCGGCAUGGCAGAGGUGGUGCCUACUGAUAUGGCUCCGAUGACUGGAGGAACACCAGGGUCCUUGGUCUUGCGCCAAUGUAGCCCCCACAGAGGCAAAGAUCGGAGUGAUAUGGUACAAGCCAAGGCAUGCUGGCAGCCACUAGAAGCUGGCAAGGAAGGAUUGUCCCCCA
RNAcentral lists this long non-coding RNA (499 nucleotides) under Homo sapiens (human). RNAcentral's name for it is "long independently transcribed non-coding RNA 2558 (LINC02558)". Lineage: Eukaryota; Metazoa; Chordata; Mammalia; Primates; Hominidae. The record is from RNAcentral.